GUUGUCCUCCGCCAGCACCGUUACCGCAAGGGACAGCUGUGGCGGCGGCUCCCGACUGCGCCCUGGGCAGUUCCUUGCGGCCGCCAGCCUUUGCCCUGCAGGCAGGCCUCGGUAAAAGCGGUGCCUUGGGGGCGUUCGGCAGGCGGGCCGGGCUGAACGGGCAGCAGCGCUCCCCCGCAGCAGCCUGCUCCCGUCUCAGGGCCGGCGGUGCUGGCUGACAAAGCCCCUGUCCUCUGGCAGGGCCCGCAGGCAGAGCAGCAGUGAGGUGCCUCGGAACAGCUGUCCUGGCAGGUAACCUCUUCUGAGUGCCUGGGCUCGGAAACUUCAGCUCCAUAAAUGCAACUCCUGACUUGCAGCAGCCUGAUUGAUGAUCCCCAAAGAAGUUCUAGUUUGCCAUUGCUGCCAGCAAGCUCAGCCUCUGAGCAUACACACCAACAGCGUCUUCACACCAGUCAGAACAUUCCAGCCGUCACUCCAGAAUGAAAGAGGACAGUCAGAGCAAAUCACGUACCCAGUGAAUCUGAAAGUAAAAGAUCUGUACUACUUUCUGCUAGCCCCCACACUUUGCUACUACCUGAAUUUCCCAAGAAAUUAACACUGCAGAUAUGGCUGUAUCGUUAAGAGGCUCCUG
Long non-coding RNA from Tyto alba (common barn owl), 631 nucleotides. RefSeq lists it as uncharacterized. The record is from RefSeq and is a predicted model, not a curated record. Lineage: Eukaryota; Metazoa; Chordata; Aves; Strigiformes; Tytonidae. The transcript has 4 exons.